Long non-coding RNA from Hyla sarda, 492 nucleotides. RefSeq lists it as uncharacterized. The record is from RefSeq and is a predicted model, not a curated record. Lineage: Eukaryota; Metazoa; Chordata; Amphibia; Anura; Hylidae. The transcript is spliced from 3 exons.
AUCUAUCCUUCUAAUACGUUUGGUAACUUGUUCUGCUGUUGCCACGACGACUCCUGUGCCAAUCAGGAAUAGUGGACAACUAGCCAAUUGUGCCCGGCCUUCGUGACAUCACCCUCCUGAGCUGUCUAUUUCAUCUGCACUCUGCUUUCAGACACUUCUUUGAGAUAAAGGAUUCUUCCUUGUCUCUGUUCUGAUUCUCCUCAGGAAUGCAGCUAUGUGAACGAGGUCUCAAAGACUAAGCUGACAAGUCAAGCGCUGUAAGUUGGCAGUGCAUAGGAGUAGUUGUGACUAGAGAUGAGCGAAUCCUGAAAUAUUUUGGCCAUCAGGUUUGAUUUGGAUUCUACAGCCAAAAAAGAUUAAAACAGGAACAGGGACUCCAGUAAGAAAGGAUGAGGAACAAAACAGAGGUCUUGUUGAGUGCCGCUGUAGAAUUAUCAAGAAGAAUAAGCCAUCACAGAUGCACUAGACUCGAUUUAUUAAAGAAGAAUGGAC